GGGCCACACCGGCAGCAUAUAGAAGUUCCCAGGCUAGGGGCUGAAUUGGGGCUGCAGUUGCCAGCCUACACCACCGUCACAGCAAUGCUGUGUUGCACACAGCUCACAGCAGUGCUGGAUCCUUAACCCACUGAGCAGGACCAGGGAUCAAACCCACUAGUCAGGGCCAUAACCCACUGAGCCGCAAUGGAAACUCCCAUUAGUGAGAGUUCUUGAUGCAAAUUUUUCUUUUUAACACACCGUGUGUAACUUUAGGUAAUAAUUGAAAUGAAAUUAAAAUGUAUAUAGCAAGCGAAGUUCAAAUUAAAUGAAAGGUAAGUUGGGACUUUUCAUUACUUCUCAUCUGACCCCAUUCCUUAUGCCUCACAUAAUUUCAUGAUUUAUAUGCCAAAGGACUUCCUCUCUCUCUGGGCCCCUCCAUAGCCCAUAUACUUGAUAUUAGUCUUAUAUUAUUUGGAAGCUAACCAGAGAACUAAGGGAGCAAAAUGGAGUUUAGUAGCCACUAGCAUAAACAUAAGACAAAAUAUUUGGAUGGAUGCUUAUGAAACAAGUUUUUUAUACUUUCCAAACUAGAUAAGAGGCUGAACAGGCUGAAGGAGGGAAGAGGCGGAACCACAUGAGCCGCAGGCAGAGUUCGAGAAAUGUCAUCAUCUGCCAAAAUAAGCACCAUCCACUGCCAAUGCCAGGAUCUCUGUGGAUGCCAUCUCAGAACAUUGCUCACUGUUUAUAGUCUAACACUGUAUAUGUAUAAAUUAAUCACAAUAUAUGACAUGGGUAUUUUUACCCAGAAAAAAAUAACAGUGAUGAUGAUAAUAAUCAUCAUGAUAGUAAACACUAAUUGGGCAGAGCACUGACUAUCUGCCUAGCACUAGGUUAAACGAUUUAUCUAAAUUAUCUUAUUUAUUCUUCACAAUACUCUUAUGUAUUAGUCAGCUAUUGCUGCAAUAAUGCUUUGUAACAAGCUAUCCCCACAACUGGUACCUUAUAGCAACAAGCAUUUCUUCUUUCUCAUUCCUCUGCAGGCCAGCUGUGGUUUGGGUGAAAUAAGGUGUGCUCUACUGCAUAGAUCUGCUUCAAGUUGUGGGCAAGGGAGACUGCUCCAGGGUGCAUUUAGGUUAGACAUGCUCCAUAUGUGUCUCAUUAUUUUGGGAAGAACAGCUACCAGGGCAUGUUAUUCUCAUGAUGAUGGUAGGAGGACAAGAGGGCAAGUGAAAACACAUCCAUAAAAAAGAAUGAAAUAAUUCCAUUUGCAGCAACUUGGAUGCAGCUAGAGAUUCUCAUACUAAGUGAGGUAAGUCAGAAAGAGAAAGACAAAUACCAUAUCAUAUCACGUAUAUGUGGAAUCUAAAAAACAGCAAAAAUGGGGAGUUCCUGUCAAUGCACAGUGGAAAUGAAUCCGACUAGGAACCAUGAGGUUUCAGGUUUGAUCCCUGGCCUCGCUCAGUGGAUUAAGGAUUCGGCAUUGCCGUGAGCUGUGGUGUAGGUCACAGAUGCAGCUCAGAUCUGAUGUUGCUGUGGCUGUGAUGUAGGCUAGCAGCUGUGGCUCCAAUUGGACCCCUAGCCUGGGAGC
Molecule: long non-coding RNA, 1570 nt
Filed under: Sus scrofa (pig)
Lineage: Eukaryota; Metazoa; Chordata; Mammalia; Artiodactyla; Suidae
Description: lncRNA (ENSSSCG00040073106.1, ENSSSCG00085036321.1)
Source: RNAcentral